UGUAACACGGAACGCAAAGAUCAG
Molecule: unclassified non-coding RNA, 24 nt
Filed under: Mus musculus (house mouse)
Lineage: Eukaryota; Metazoa; Chordata; Mammalia; Rodentia; Muridae
Description: oocyte_clustered_small_RNA5217
Source: RNAcentral